AGGGGUAUAUCUCAGUGGUAGAGUACUGGCCUAGCAUGCAUGAGGUCCUGGGUUCAAUUCCUAGUUCCACCA
Molecule: transfer RNA, 72 nt
Filed under: Heterocephalus glaber (naked mole-rat)
Lineage: Eukaryota; Metazoa; Chordata; Mammalia; Rodentia; Bathyergidae
Rfam family: tRNA
About the family: Transfer RNA (tRNA) molecules are approximately 80 nucleotides in length. Their secondary structure includes four short double-helical elements and three loops (D, anti-codon, and T loops). Further hydrogen bonds mediate the characteristic L-shaped molecular structure. tRNAs have two regions of fundamental functional importance: the anti-codon, which is responsible for specific mRNA codon recognition, and the 3' end, to which the tRNAs corresponding amino acid is attached (by aminoacyl-tRNA synthetases). tRNAs cope with the degeneracy of the genetic code in two manners: having more than one tRNA (with a specific anti-codon) for a particular amino acid; and 'wobble' base-pairing, i.e. permitting non-standard base-pairing at the 3rd anti-codon position.
Source: Rfam by way of RNAcentral